GACGAACGCUGGCGGCGUGCUUAACACAUGCAAGUCGAACGGAAAGGCCCUGCUUUUGUGGGGUGCUCGAGUGGCGAACGGGUGAGUAACACGUGAGUAACCUGCCCUUGACUUUGGGAUAACUUCAGGAAACUGGGGCUAAUACCGGAUAGGAGCUCCUGCUGCAUGGUGGGGGUUGGAAAGUUUCGGCGGUUGGGGAUGGACUCGCGGCUUAUCAGCUUGUUGGUGGGGUAGUGGCUUACCAAGGCUUUGACGGGUAGCCGGCCUGAGAGGGUGACCGGCCACAUUGGGACUGAGAUACGGCCCAGACUCCUACGGGAGGCAGCAGUGGGGAAUAUUGCACAAUGGGCGGAAGCCUGAUGCAGCAACGCCGCGUGCGGGAUGACGGCCUUCGGGUUGUAAACCUCUUUCGCCUGUGACGAAGAGUGAGUGACGGUAAUGGGUAAAGAAGCACCGGCUAACUACGUG
Molecule: ribosomal RNA, 468 nt
Filed under: uncultured bacterium
Lineage: Bacteria
Description: partial 16S ribosomal RNA
Rfam family: Bacterial small subunit ribosomal RNA
Source: RNAcentral